UAAUAAUAAAAUAUUUCAGAUUAGUCAAAAUAGAGAACAUUGCUGGAGGAAACACCUUUUAAGUGGUUUGCUAUAAUAACUUUUUAGCUAUUUUAGCUAGAAUUUAGAGAUUCUUCUAGAGAUGCGCUUACAAUUGUGGAGACAAAAAGCCUACAUUUCAGGGCACCGUGAAAUAGUAUUUGGAAGUCAGCCUUUUCUUUGGCCCUGGGAUGAUUGGAUUGGAGUUUCAGCAGAUAUGGUUGUUGGCCUUUUUGCAUCCUUUUCUCCGCCAAAUUGCUCAACCUUCAGAAAAGAUGAGUGGAGAGUAGGUUUAUAUCAACUUCAUGACCUUGCCGCAUCAUACAAUCUUGACAGAGCGAGCGGGGUAUGUCGCCAGAAAGAGACUUAAAGUCCACGUCAAAUUUUUGGCAGAAAUCAAAGCUCAAGUGGUGGAGGAGGCUCUUCAAUAUGCUGAAAUGAAAACCCUUUCGUUUUGUUCCGCAAUGCCAUGCGCUGUCAGAAAAGUUCCCCCUUCUCAUUACUAGAAUUAGCAAGUCAACCUGUACUAUUAAAAUUACGGGUUAACUUUAGUUCAAUCGGUCAUGACAUGUCUAAUAAAUAAGUGAAUUGAGGGUCAAUAUGCUAACUCAUG
Molecule: long non-coding RNA, 631 nt
Filed under: Prunus dulcis (almond)
Lineage: Eukaryota; Viridiplantae; Streptophyta; Magnoliopsida; Rosales; Rosaceae
Description: sRNA ncRNA
Source: RNAcentral